AGAGUUUGAUCCUGGCUCAGAUUGAACGCUGGCGGCAUGCCUUACACAUGCAAGUCGAACGGUAACGCGGGGCAACCUGGCGACGAGUGGCGAACGGGUGAGUAACGCAUCGGAACGUGCUCAGUAGUGGGGGAUAGCCCGGCGAAAGCCGGAUUAAUACCGCAUACGACCUCAGGGUGAAAGCGGGGGAUCGCAAGACCUCGCGCUAUUGGAGCGGCCGAUGUCAGAUUAGGUAGUUGGUGGGGUAAAAGCCUACCAAGCCUGCGAUCUGUAGCUGGUCUGAGAGGGCGACCAGCCACACUGGGACUGAGACACGAGCCCAGACUCCUACUGCGGAGGCAGCAGUGGGGAAUUUUGGACAAUGGGCGAAAGCCUGAUCCANGCCAUGCCGGCGUGCGGGAAGAAGGCCUUCGAGGUUGUAAACCGCUUUUGUCGGGGAAAGAAAACGUCGCGACCUAAUACGUCGCGGUAAUGACCGGUACCUGAAGAAUAAGCACCGGCCUAACUACGUGCCAAGCAGCCCGCGGUAAUACGUAGGGGUGCAAGCGUUAAUCGGAAUUACUGGGCGUAAAGCGUGCGCAGGCGGUCAUGCAAGACAGAUGUGAAAUCCCCGAGCUCAACUUGGGAACUGCAUUUUGUGACUGCAUGGCUUGAGUGCGGCAGAGGGGGAUGGAAUUCCGCGUGUAGCAGUGAAAUGCGUAGAUAUGCGGAGGAACACCGAUGGCGAAGGCAAUCCCCUGGGCCUGCACUGACGCUCAUGCACGAAAGCGUGGGGAGCAAACAGGAUUAGAUACCCUGGUAGUCCACGCCCUAAACGAUGUCAACUGGUUGUUGGAGGGGUUUCUCUUCAGUAACGAAGCUAACGCGUGAAGUUGACCGCCUGGGGAGUACGGCCGCAAGGUUGAAACUCAAAAGGAAUUGACGGGGACCCGCACAAGCGGUGGGAUGAUGUGGUUUAAUUCGAUGCAACGCGAAAAACCUUUACCUACCCUUGACAUGUCAGGAACUUUGGCAGAGAUGCGAAGGUGNCUCGNAAAGAGAGCCUGAACACAGGUGCUGCAUGGCCGUCGUCAGCUCGUGUCCGUGAGAUGUUGGGUUAAGUCCCGCAACGAGCGCAACCCUUGCCAUUAGUNUGCCCANCGAAAGGGCACUCUAGUGAGACUGCCGGUGACAAACCGGAGGAAGGUGGGGAUGACGUCAGGUCCUCAUGGCCCUUAUGGGUAGGGCUACACACGUCAUACAAUGGCCGGUACAGAGGGUUGCCAACCCGCGAGGGGGAGCCAAUCCCACAAAGCCGGUCGUAGUCCGGAUCGUAGUCUGCAACUCGACUACGUGAAGUCGGAAUCGCUAGUAAUCGCGGAUCAGCUUGCCGCGGUGAAUACGUUCCCGGGUCUUGUACACACCGCCCGUCA
RNAcentral lists this ribosomal RNA (1412 nucleotides) under uncultured bacterium. RNAcentral describes it as "bacterial SSU rRNA". It matches the Rfam family "Bacterial small subunit ribosomal RNA". The record is from RNAcentral.